CUGACCCAAAAGCUCUUGGAAAAAAACUCUGCAAGAAGAGAAUUCUGCCAGUGUGAAGCCUGUAGCACUUGRGUCAAAAUGAGCAUUCAGGGAUCAGGUUGUCUAUGUUCCAUCUGCAGGCAAAGGAGAGAGAGGAGCAUUUCUAAAGCUGAUUCAUCUCAUCCUGACUCUUUAAUGCAGAAAAAUGAAAAUCAUGAUCCUGGACUCUGCUUUGGUGACUUGAUUUGACAUAUCCCAGUCUUUGUGAGAGAAGGCAAAGUGAAGAUGAAGUUCAUUAGACUCUCUCCUUUAACAGCCUAUUUCUGCUCAGAAGAUGGAGAAAAGAAGCUCUUCUAAUGUGUAUCAGAAUGMUCAUGCUCAAGCCAGACUUUUACAAUGUGUAGAAGUUUGGACUUUCUUUAUGACCUUUCUCUUGAUUAAGCUUCUGUGAUGGUAAUGAGAGAAUAAAUCACCGCUAUUAAUUAUGAAGUACAAGCUCAAAUGCUUCGCUUGUACAAGAGACGAGAAUGAGCACAGCCUAAUAAUGUUUCCUGUGCCUUGGAAAUACUGUGAGCUUCCACCAGGACUGCGUGCCCUGGCAGCAAACCUCUAUGGGGUGUGCUGUGCUGCUCCAUGAGGAGCCCACCUUUCCCUAUUUGCUGCUGGGGGCUGCAUUCACAUCUUGUGAUAACUUGGAAAAUGCACAGUGCCUUUAAAUGUGCUGUCACAGAUGGUUCCUUGGACAAGACUCCUGCCCUGGCUCACAAGCAGAGGAGAAAUUUAUGUUUYCUACAUUUUUCCUAUAGCUGCUCAGCAGAGGUUAGGAUGGAGCCCCAGGCAUGUUCUAAAGCUUCACUAAUGUUUUCCAUAUCUGCAGAAAUAGGGCCAAGUCCAAG
Molecule: long non-coding RNA, 875 nt
Organism: Malurus melanocephalus (red-backed fairy wren)
Lineage: Eukaryota; Metazoa; Chordata; Aves; Passeriformes; Maluridae
Exons: 3
Source: RefSeq, a predicted model, not a curated record